This 388-nucleotide ribosomal RNA is filed under the name Ceramium sp. RNAcentral describes it as "partial small subunit ribosomal RNA". It matches the Rfam family "Eukaryotic small subunit ribosomal RNA", at positions 582 to 975 of the family's 1831-position model. Lineage: Eukaryota; Rhodophyta; Florideophyceae; Ceramiales; Ceramiaceae. The record is from RNAcentral.
AUUCCAGCUCUGUAAGCGUAUACCAAAGUUGUUGCAGUUAAAACGCUCGUAGUCGGACGUUGGCGGGCGCCUCGAGUCGGCCUCACGGUCGAUCUUGUUGGCGACCGCCUUUGUGGAGGGGGGCUUAGGUCGGUGCCUUAUUGUCAUCCCUUUGUCGCUGCCACCGUUUACUGUGAAAAAAUUAGAGUGUUCAAAGCGGGCGUUUGCCAUGAAUACAUUAGCAUGGAAUAAUAGAAUAGGACCUGGUCCUGUUUUGUUGGUUUGUGAGUAUCAGGUAAUGAUUAAGAGGGACGGUUGGGGGCAUUUGUAUUCCGGCGUCAGAGGUGAAAUUCUUGGAUUGCCGGAAGACAAACAGCUGCGAAAGCGUCUGCCAAGGACGUUUUCAUCG